UGGGGAAUAUUGGACAAUGGGCGCAAGCCUGAUCCAGCCAUGCCGCGUGAGUGAUGAAGGCCCUAGGGUUGUAAAGCUCUUUCACCGGUGAAGAUAAUGACGGUAACCGGAGAAGAAGCCCCAGCUAACUUCGUGCCAGCAGCCGCGGUAAUACGAAGGGGGCUAGCGUUGUUCGGAUUUACUGGGCGUAAAGCGCACGUAGGCGGACUAUUAAGUCAGGGGUGAAAUCCCGGGGCUCAACCCCGGAACUGCCUUUGAUACUGGUAGUCUUGAGUUCGAGAGAGGUGAGUGGAAUUCCGAGUGUAGAGGUGAAAUUCGUAGAUAUUCGGAGGAACACCAGUGGCGACGGCGGCUCACUGGCUCGAUACUGACGCUGAGGUGCGAAAGCGUGGGGAGCAAACAGG
This 404-nucleotide ribosomal RNA is filed under the name Actinomycetes bacterium. RNAcentral describes it as "Actinobacteria bacterium partial 16S ribosomal RNA". It matches the Rfam family "Bacterial small subunit ribosomal RNA", at positions 355 to 776 of the family's 1533-position model. Lineage: Bacteria; Bacillati; Actinomycetota; Actinomycetes. The record is from RNAcentral.